Molecule: ribosomal RNA, 588 nt
Filed under: uncultured bacterium
Lineage: Bacteria
Description: bacterial SSU rRNA
Rfam family: Bacterial small subunit ribosomal RNA
Source: RNAcentral
UGCAAGUCGAGCGCACCUUCGGGUGAGCGGCGGACGGGUGAGUAACGCGUGGGAAUAUGCCCUUUUCUACGGAAUAGCCUCGGGAAACUGAGAGUAAUACCGUAUACGCCCUUCGGGGGAAAGAUUUAUCGGAGAAGGAUUAGCCCGCGUUGGAUUAGGUAGUUGGUGGGGUAAUGGCCUACCAAGCCGACGAUCCGUAGCUGGUUUGAGAGGAUGAUCAGCCACACUGGGACUGAGACACGGCCCAGACUCCUACGGGAGGCAGCAGUGGGGAAUCUUAGACAAUGGGGGAAACCCUGAUCUAGCCAUGCCGCGUGAGUGACGAAGGCCCUAGGGUCGUAAAGCUCUUUCGCCAGGGAAGAUAAUGACGGUACCUGGUAAAGAAGUCCCGGCUAACUCCGUGCCAGCAGCCGCGGUAAUACGGAGGGGACUAGCGUUGUUCGGAAUUACUGGGCGUAAAGCGCGCGUAGGCGGACUAUUAAGUCAGGGGUGAAAUCCCGGGGCUCAANCCCGGAACUGCCUUUGAUACUGGUAGUCUUGAGUUCGAGAGAGGUGAGUGGAAUUCCGAGUGUAAGGUGAAUUCGUAAU